Molecule: long non-coding RNA, 1433 nt
Organism: Heterocephalus glaber (naked mole-rat)
Lineage: Eukaryota; Metazoa; Chordata; Mammalia; Rodentia; Bathyergidae
Source: Ensembl
GUCCUGAGCUGUGAUACAGGAAAAAGAACCAGGAAAGACACCAACCAGAGGGUAGGAUGUUCAGGAGAGAAUGUGAAGUCAUCAGAGAGCAGCCACUUUUGACGGAUAGAACUACAGUGAAACAAUGAAACCCUAUAAGGAGAAAAUGAAGGUGGCCUCAUGAGUUUGACUAAAAUCGCCCAAGGUGCUUAAGACUAGUGCAGAAGGCCAAUCCCCCCUGUAGUCACCUGGGCCAUGCUCCUGCUUCCUGUUGCAGCCCACGGCCCACCAAGGCCACUGCCUAUGUGCAGCCCUACCUGCUUGCUCUUCCCUUUCCCCUGACUUCAAAAUAAAGCACCGGAUCCGGUGCAAUCUGCUGCACACCCGAGCCUGGAUUAACCCAGAGGUCUGCCUUCGCUUCUCUCACCGGGUGCCUUGGGGAUGCUGGAGAGAAGUACAGCACGGGAACCAGUGUCUUCACAAAGCCUUCUGGGAGAGUGGUCCAUUAUUGCCAUGGCAGCCUCAAUGCCUCUGGGUGAUCUCUACACCCUCACCAGCUCACCGAUGUCCUCAUGCGGAGCAGUUGCCACCUGACCUCACAGCCCUGACGACCUCAUCAGUCCUUUGACUCCUGUGGCUCUGACUGGGCCUCCGGCCUCUGGGUCACUGCUCCUUGUAGGCACCAGGGCCUACGGGCCACAGCAGCUACUCUGCUUCCUGGGUGAGGAACUCACCUGUCCCCUUUCACGCUGGACCUUGCUGUAACUUAGCCGUGAACUGACUGCUGAACAAAGCCAAAGACUGAGGAACCAAGUGAAAGUUAGAAAUGGCUGGGAGAGAAGUCCAAGAUGUUCUUGAAUAUUCUCGAGAACAUGAAGAAGAAUGUUUGGAGAAGAAUAUUCUGAGAACAAAAGGAACUGAGUGGUUAUGGGAGCAGAUUACAAUACAAGAAAAAGGGCCCCAGACUUAUGCAGGGAUCCAGGAGCUGAAGCUGAUGGUAACACCACACACCGGCCUCAUCAGAUAACUAAGUCAGGUCACACCUUGACAGACAGAGGUUCACCGCAUACCAAAAAAAAGAACUUCCUGGGAGGUGUGAAAUCGGGUAGAUUAGCUGGUACAUACCUGGAGAAGCCAUGUGAGAUCGGCAAGAUACAUUCAUGGGGACAAGUUGGGAGCUUGGAGCACCAGGCUGAUGUGGCUUGGGGAGCACUUGGUUCAGACUCAGUGAGUGUUAGGCUCUUUUAAAACUUCCUGUACAAGCACAUGAAGAAAGCGGAAGGUCCUUUUUGUGAGAAUUGCUGACUGGCAUGCAUUGUUUGACGGGAACUUCAAACUUCAUUUGACAGAGAUUCUAAUUGCACUCUUCCUCAUCCUGCUGGAGAAGCUGACAACCUAUAUUUUGCAGCUCAAAAAGGAAAAUGCAAGGCUCAACUUGUUUCUGAUGGAGAAUU